This 77-nucleotide transfer RNA is filed under the name Chloroflexota bacterium. RNAcentral's name for it is "Chloroflexi bacterium (anaerobic digester metagenome) tRNA-Arg". It matches the Rfam family "tRNA". From Rfam's summary of the family: Transfer RNA (tRNA) molecules are approximately 80 nucleotides in length. Their secondary structure includes four short double-helical elements and three loops (D, anti-codon, and T loops). The record is from RNAcentral. Lineage: Bacteria; Bacillati; Chloroflexota.
GCCCCAGUAGCUCAGAUGGACAGAGCAGAGGUUUCCUAAACCUUGUGCCGGUGGUUCGACUCCGCCCUGGGGCACCA